AUCACUGUGAUCAUUUUGCGGCCUGGGGAGCAAGGAUCCAUGGUUUUUAUAUGCCUUGUCCGGCUGCUGGAGUUGAUGACAUGGAAACGUCAUCUCUACCAUCUCGAUGGCUUAGACCCAGGGAGCCGGAUGUUCAUCUCAGCCCUCCCCAGCUUCCAUCAAUGGAUUUUUAUAGUCAGGGUUAAAGACUGAGAGGCCCUAUGCAUGUUCACAAAAACACAAUUUUGACAAAUUAUCUCUAUUGUAAAAUUGAGGGAGUAACUCAUUAUUCGAGAGAACUGGUCGUACAUGAAGCAUCAAGAACACACGUGCAAAAAUCUAAUUCUAACUGAAUUUAGCUUUCAGUUGGCAUUUCCUCAAACAAUCAAGUGCACCUAUUAUUAUUUGGCUGACAAAAAUAUGAACACCAAACAUGCCAUCAUCAUUAAGCAAUUCAAGGAUGUCUAUGAAUCGGACAUGAAAUAUUUGGAGCAUGGAAUAAAAAACAGCACACUGUCUUCUGGCGUAGAUGCACAAUAGAUGCACUCCUUCAAAUAGAGAUCAAUUUUCAGCUGAAACGAUAGAUGCACUCUUUCAAAUAUGCAUCAUAGUAGGUCCUACAAAAAUCACGAGAAAUUAGAGGAUGCAACUUGAUGACUGCCUUCUAUAUCAUUUGGAGGACAAAAGAAGCUAGAAAAAUUGUGAUGAACCACCAAUCCCUGUUAAAAGUAACUAUCAUUCCCCUUUGAUAUAUGGAUAUAUCAAUCAAGAGAGAGAGUGGGGGGGUUAUACCAGGAAACACUUUGCAAACAUAAGCUUUUAAACUGGUAGUCAACUUACUGUCAACAUGUAAGGUUGCCUCAUUUCUGAAAAACACAAAUCCACCCUAAAUUUUCACAUGAAUAAAAUGUAGAUUUUCUCUUCUAUCAAGAUAUUACAUGUCUGGUAUCUUCUUGUAGGAACUGCUACCAUCAUUUGCUUCUUCUCACAAAGAAUUCAAUCCAUAGUAUGCCAAGAAGCUAUGAAAAAAAAUUAAUUUCUUCAAAGAAUAAAAUACAUUGCAGAAAUAAAAUACUCUAUCAGAGAGUUGGCAGGCAAGGUAGUAGGGACAAGAAGAGCAAGAACUAACUUUGAGAGGAUAUGGGCAAACUCCUGCAUUGUGCCCUGGCUGACCCCUACGCUUACGCCAUGCCUCCUGUAUCCAUUCCUCAUUCCUCUGUGUUGUGAUAGAAAUUCAGAAUGGCAAAUAAAAGUAUUAUUAGAUUGCAGCCUUAAUUUCUUAUCCUUUAGUAGAUGCACAUUUGAUUCUAUUCUUAGAUUGCAGCCUUAAUUUCUUAUCCUUUAGUAGACGCACAUUUGAUUCUGAAGGAAGAAGACGGGAAAUAUGCAUAUAGCAAGAAAUAGUAAAAAUAUGUUCUUUCGAACUUGCAUGGCUAUUUGUUUUUUCUGUAAACAUGCCAAUCUACUGCCAUCUCACUCGCCUUAAUUUCUUACCUUUUCAUAGAUGCAAAUUUGAUUUUGAGCAAGUAGAGAAGCAAUAUACGAUAGCAUACAUCAAGAAAGAGUAGAAGAAUGUUCUUUUCAGCUGAUGUACACUAUAGAUGCAAAUUAUAUAUAUACGACUAUAAUUUUUUUCCUGUAAAUACACUGAUGUACUACCAUCUCAUUACAAAUUAUGUAUCGUGCCAAGGAAAAAUCAUUUUACUUUUCAGCAUAUAUAUACGAUCAUACGGUAGUCACACAUAUAAGCAGCACCACAAAAACAAACACACAAACAUGACACCUGGAAAAAUCAGGAACGGAGGAAUUAGCAUGACAAUAAGAAGUAAACAAAUAGGGUAGAAAAGUGCAGUGCUUAGAAAAGAAUGACAAGGAGAAACAUUGACCAAAGGAACAGAGAAGGAGCAACCUUAGCGAUUCUAGAGCCUGCAAAAUAGAAGGAAAGGAAGGUUAGCCAAACAAGCCAGUCUGUUCAAUACCUAACACAACAACAAAUCAAAGACAACCUAGCUUUACAUGGCAGAAAUUUCAAGAGAAAAAAUAUAUAAUAUGAUAUCUAACUGUGCGAAUACAUUAGGAAAUACCACUUCCAAAUUAGAGCGCACCAUUCCCCAAAACUCAAGGACUCAAUAUUCAAAAACUACACAUCAUGAUAGUUAGUUGUUCUACAGCAGCAAGCUAAAUAACACCUAGGUUGUGUAUUAUCUCAUCACACAAAGAAUGUAAAUCAUCACUCCAUAAGAUCAAGAUUUACUAUUUAUUCUACUUCUGCCCCCAACGCAUGAAAAUGCAGCUCCAUUUGGAAUCUGCUCUCCAGUCAAGUAUUUUGUUAAGCAAAUAGGCACAUAGCAAAAAACCAAACCAGAUUCCCGCCUCCAUAUAUGCUUCACGUAUAGUUGUUUACCAAUUCUAGUUCUGCUUGAAACAUCAAGCAUAAUUGGCUACUGAUUCAUUUAUAAAAUAGAAGUGCACCAAAAAAUAACUAUUUGAAAUUACAAAUAGGGAUAGGCCAAUAGAUGACCUCUUAAUUCCAUAGGAAUCACAAAAUCCCAAAAAACGGUACAAUUAUCAUUUUAUAAAUGUUCGCACCUUAAAGUUAACAAUCUUCUCAAAUUAGCAUACAGGGCUAACAUAAACUUAAGCAAGACUGUCCAAAUGAUCAUGGUACAUGGUGGAUUUAUCAUAAUUAAUAUUUGGCUGGAAGUGGGCUACGUUCUACAGAUAUUCUGAAGCUCAUUUUCAGUAGUCAGAUAAAUCGACCUGCUACAGCGCCUCUAGCCGCCCACCAACACCCACGAUAGGCCACCAUGGACGACGUGCACCUGAUUCCACCAGGAAGCCAAUCCUAUACCAUCGCUAGUGUGCGCGCGCCUAAAGUGCACAGUGAGGCAGAUCUUCCCUUCGUGGUAUAUCUGCAUCAAUAUCCCAACCACAACAAGAAUCACUGCCAAGAAUGAUUAUCACCCGACAACACUAUUUUUUUAACAAGUUUCAUGGUGGCAAUUCAUAGAACAGUCCAACAUAAAUAAAGAAGCUGCAACCAUAGUGUGAGAAUUGGAAGGGAAUACUGAAGCGAACAUGGGCGCAAAGAAAUACACAACUGAACUGGAGACAAUGAAAGUAGACCACUCCAAAACAUUAAGAAACCUAUAGUCGUUAAUGUGGAAACUAAAUCUCAUUGAGGUGGAGAUGACUCAUAACCUACAGAUGAAAAGAAGAGCUCGCCUGCAGAUUGGGACCCUCGAUGUAGCCAUGGAAGCCUAGCCAUACAAAGUGGUGCUUCGAUGCGAAAACUCAAGGCAACCGUGGCAAGGCCCCAUCGAACAACGCCUCAUUUCCUCUCACUCCACCUAUUUCCCAUAACUUAGAUUCAUAAUCAAAUAUUCAGGUGCAAUAACAAUUUUUGUCCGGUUAUAAGUUAAAACUAAGGAAAUUAAAUACUAAUUAGAAUCUGAGACACAUCCAACCAAGGAAAUCGAUCUACAAGAUGCCCUUGCAGCACAAGACAACUCCUCCCUUAGCCAAUCCAUAGACGACAGCUCAUUGGUCGCUACUUGUUGGCGCAUUCAGACUUCUCCUUUCCCUCUAUGACAAAAAAUCAACAUGUGAACAUAAGAAUCAAAAUAAGAGAAGGAACAAGCAGUACUCGAGAUGUACAACAAGCGUGCGCUUAUAAGCUAUUAUAUGUCCGUAUGAAUGUGCGAAAAACAUGGGGCUCUAAACUAUAAAUCAGUUAUUAACUAAUAAUGUUACAUUGGUGACUUCAUUGCUUCACAUGUCCUUAUUUCAGCACAACAUGUCAUGCAUAUUUAGAAACCGCGACAUAUAUAUCAACCGCACUAAUAUGGCAAACAAUUAGCUAACCCUGGCAUAUUUACCUUUCACCCGUGGUUGUGAUCUUUUCGCAUUAAUCUCCAAUACUGAAUCAUCCACGAUCUUAAUGGAUCCUUUAAAGGGGCCAUGAGUGGAUUCAUACUUGAACAUAUGGUCCAAUAAAUGGGAGGAGGGGUGUUAACUUGAGAGGUGAAGGGAAGAAUAUAAUGGCAGAUUUAGAUUUGUCAAAUUCCGAUGCAGUAGAACAUCCCACUGGAUGAUUUCUGUCAUUGCACCUAAUAAUAGAAAAAAGUAGGAACCCAAUUGUGCAAAAUUAGGUGUUAAGUAAUUUUUCUAUGCUCUAAAUACAGUGCAACAUGGUCUGAUGCAAUUUUGAUACAAAGUAGUACAAAACUAACUACUGCAAAACUAUGAGUUCAACACCUAAACUUUGAGUUUCAGUUGCAGAAGUUCUCAUAGCAAAAAAUAUGCAAAUCAUAUAGCAUUAUUUCCUUACCAUGUACUUAGCAUCAAUAAAAGGACUAUUGACAGCCACAACUUCAAUGACACCUCUACUGGAGCAUUGAUGCCUCUUCUCAAAUCCUCAAUGACUGAAUGAUCAUUAAUUUCUUCAAUCCUCAUAACUGAAUAUUUCUUGUGUCUGUAUGUCACUUGACUCACUCCCUGGCCAGCACAGUAGCAACAUCAGCAGGUCAACCGCAGCAAGCAACAAAGUCAGUAUACAACAAAACAUAGCUUCAUAGCUUCAUACAAGAUACAAGCAUUAUACAAAUAUUACAACAAAGCAUCAACAUCAGGCCAUCAGCAGCCCAACACCCAGACAAAGCACCGAGCAACAAGCCAGCAAGUAUGCACACAACAAGCAAGCACACACGCAGCACAUCAACAGCAAGCACGCACACAUCACACGUGUAAUAAGCAGGGCAAGAAGACCAGGAAGAGCAGUGAUUCAGAGGAAGUUACCUCGCCGGGGAUGGGAUUCCUGGCGGUAAUGGUGGAGUUGACUCGGGGCGGCGAUGGAGGUCACUCGAGGCGGCGCCCAAGGCGACUCCAGGCGGCAGCGGUGGCGUGGCCAUGCAGGCACCCUCGAUCCAAUCCGCCACCCUGCUCUUGUCAAUGGGG
Molecule: long non-coding RNA, 4935 nt
Filed under: Triticum aestivum (bread wheat)
Lineage: Eukaryota; Viridiplantae; Streptophyta; Magnoliopsida; Poales; Poaceae
Description: long non-coding RNA (TAES_LNC021098)
Source: RNAcentral